This 553-nucleotide ribosomal RNA is filed under the name uncultured bacterium. RNAcentral's name for it is "partial 16S ribosomal RNA". It matches the Rfam family "Bacterial small subunit ribosomal RNA", at positions 355 to 901 of the family's 1533-position model. The record is from RNAcentral.
UGGGGAAUUUUGGACAAUGGGCGAAAGCCUGAUCCAGCAAUGCCGCGUGUGUGAAGAAGGCCUUCGGGUUGUAAAGCACUUUUGUCCGGAAAGAAAUGGCUCUGGUUAAUACCUGGGGUCGAUGACGGUACCGGAAGAAUAAGGACCGGCUAACUACGUGCCAACAGCCGCGGUAAUACGUAGGGUCCAAGCGUUAAUCGGAAUUACUGGGCGUAAAGCGUGCGCAGGCGGUUGUGCAAGACCGAUGUGAAAUCCCCGAGCUUAACUUGGGAAUUGCAUUGGUGACUGCACGGCUAGAGUGUGUCAGAGGGGGGUAGAAUUCCACGUGUAGCAGUGAAAUGCGUAGAGAUGUGGAGGAAUACCGAUGGCGAAGGCAGCCCCCUGGGAUAACACUGACACUCAUGCACGAAAGCGUGGGGAGCAAACAGGAUUAGAUACCCUGGUAGUCCACGCCCUAAACGAUGUCAACUAGUUGUUGGGGAUUCAUUUCCUUAGUAACGUAGCUAACGCGUGAAGUUGACCGCCUGGGGAGUACGGUCGCAAGAUUAAAAGC